UUAUCCCCACUAAACCCCCUCGCUACUUUAGAGCCAUUCAAAUGAGGUACAGCCCAUUUGAUACAGGAUACAACCUUCACUAACGGGUAAGCCCCCCCUCACACCUUAAAGUAGGCCUAAAAGCAGUCACCUUUUAAAAAGCGUCAAAGCUUAACCAUGUGCGUACUAAUUCAAAAAUUCACAUUAACCCCUUCAACUAUACUGAGAACUUCUAUAACUCUAUAGAACCUUUUAUGCUAAAACUAGUAACAAGAGAAAAUACUCUCCAAAUGCAAACAUAAGCCAGCAAGAACCCAUCACUGGCAAUUAACAGCCUUAAAUAGAAGUAGCAACCUCACUAGAAAACCCUACUCACCCAACUGUUAACCUAACACUAGAGCAUUUCAAGAAAGAUUAAAAGAAAAAGAAGGAACUCGGCAAACUUCAGUCCCGCCUGUUUACCAAAAACAUCGCCUCUUGCUCUCCAUGAGAGGUCCAACCUGCCCAGUGACUCUGUUCAACGGCCGCGGUAUCCUAACCGUGCAAAGGUAGCGUAAUCACUUGUUUUCUAAAUAAAGACCUGUAUGAAGGGUAUAACGAGGACUAAGCUGUCUCCUUUUUCCAAUCAGUGAACCUAAUCUCCCCGUGAANAANCGGGGAUUCCCACCUAAGACGAGAAGACCCUAUGGAGCUUAAAACAUAUAACACCUGCCACCAACCUUUUACUACCCAAGUAAUCUUAUAACGGCAUUCUGAUUUUAUGUUUUUGGUUGGGGUGACCGCGGAGAAAACCUCAUCCUCCGCAAUGAAAGGGGACUUCCCCUAAACAGUAAGUUACAACUUUAUGUAUCAGUAAACUGACAUCAUUGACCCAAUAAAUUGAUUAAUGAACCAAGUUACCCUAGGGAUAACAGCGCAAUCCACUUUGAGAGCCCCUAUCGACAAGUGGGCUUACGACCUCGAUGUUGGAUCGGGAUAUCCUAGUGGUGCAGCCGCUACUAAGGGUUCGUUUGUUCAACGAUUAAAAUCCCACGUGAU
RNAcentral lists this ribosomal RNA (1017 nucleotides) under Pristimantis colodactylus. RNAcentral's name for it is "partial large subunit ribosomal RNA". It matches the Rfam family "Bacterial large subunit ribosomal RNA", at positions 940 to 2604 of the family's 2925-position model. The record is from RNAcentral. Lineage: Eukaryota; Metazoa; Chordata; Amphibia; Anura; Strabomantidae.